Molecule: long non-coding RNA, 393 nt
Filed under: Homo sapiens (human)
Lineage: Eukaryota; Metazoa; Chordata; Mammalia; Primates; Hominidae
Description: HSALNT0297445
Source: RNAcentral
GACGGCCCCCGCGCGCGGCCAAUCCGCGAAGCCGCGCCUGCGCACCAGAGGCGGGCGGGAGCGGGCGGAGGGCGGGGAAUGAAUCUAAGCCUCCAGAGACAGCGCCUCCUGCUGCCUGAACGAGAACUGCACCUUUCUCUGCAAGGAUCUCUGGAUUUGUGUGAAAACUGAGCCCCAGACAGGUUAAGGGGCUUUCCUAAAGUUGCACAGGAGCUCAGCCCAUCAGACAUGAACUCAUCCAUACCUAUUAAUUAGAGUAGAAGCAAAAUGGUUCUUCAUAAAAGUUGAGGCUCAGAGAAGGGGAAGAACAAUCCCCUCGUCUUCUAUCAUAGAGCUGUGAAGAAGACGCAUGCCCUUGACGUCUCAGUCCAGGGGAUACCUUACCAGGUAGUU